This is a long non-coding RNA of Triticum dicoccoides, 498 nucleotides long. RefSeq lists it as uncharacterized. The transcript has 4 exons. The record is from RefSeq and is a predicted model, not a curated record. Lineage: Eukaryota; Viridiplantae; Streptophyta; Magnoliopsida; Poales; Poaceae.
GUCAUCUAUUCCAACUAGCAGGUAAGUUUUUAGGUAAUGACAGUGACGUCGAAAUUUGGCUCCAUGGCCCAUGUGUAAGUAAGGGCGGUGAUGCCUUUUACUACACAAGGGGUUCAGAGGAGAUUCUUGAAGUUUGUCUUGUGAAGUUGUGAUUGACCGGAACCUGGGGAAAGCUAAGGACUUUUUCAGUGGUGCUUCCGACAAUAGGAAGUUGGCGGUGAAAAGACAAGAGCAACAUCUUGGAGAGGAAGCUUCGACACAGAGGGAAGGGACACGUUGUGAAGAAGCAUGGUUUGGUGAGGUCGACAUCUCCCCUCUCCAAUGCUAGCAGCAUCGUUGCCCUUGCGCUCCCCCUAUGCCACCAUGCCCACUCUUGUUGUGCACAACAUCAAAGGGAAAUCCUUCGCCUGGGCCGGCUCAUGCAGCAGGGACCACCUAUACUACGCUCUGCGCGCUGAAAGAAGACGCAGCGCGCCUAUCUGGGCCGGCCCAUGCCCG